Molecule: ribosomal RNA, 484 nt
Filed under: uncultured bacterium
Lineage: Bacteria
Description: partial 16S ribosomal RNA
Rfam family: Bacterial small subunit ribosomal RNA
Source: RNAcentral
AUUGAACGCUGGCGGCAUGCUUUACACAUGCAAGUCGAACGGCAGCGCGGGCUUCGGCCUGGCGGCGAGUGGCGAACGGGUGAGUAAUACACCGGAACGUGCCCAGUAGUGGGGGAUAGCUCGGCGAAAGCCGGAUUAAUACCGCAUACGACCUGAGGGUGAAAGCGGGGGAUCUUCGGACCUCGCGCUAUUGGAGCGGCCGACGGCAGAUUAGCUAGUUGGUGGGGUAAAGGCCUACCAAGGCGACGAUCUGUAGCUGGUCUGAGAGGACGACCAGCCACACUGGGACUGAGACACGGCCCAGACUCCUACGGGAGGCAGCAGUGGGGAAUUUUGGACAAUGGGCGAAAGCCUGAUCCAGCAAUGCCGCGUGUGUGAUGAAGGCCUUCGGGUUGUAAAGCACUUUUGGCGGGAACGAAAAGGACUGUGCCAAUACCACGGUUCGAUGACGGUACCCGCAGAAUAAGCACCGGCUAACUACGUG